UUAGCGGCGGACGGGUGAGUAAUGCCUAGGAAUCUGCCUGGUAGUGGGGGAUAACGUUCCGAAAGGAACGCUAAUACCGCAUACGUCCUACGGGAGAAAGCAGGGGACCUUCGGGCCUUGCGCUAUCAGAUGAGCCUAGGUCGGAUUAGCUAGUUGGUGAGGUAAUGGCUCACCAAGGCGACGAUCCGUAACUGGUCUGAGAGGAUGAUCAGUCACACUGGAACUGAGACACGGUCCAGACUCCUACGGGAGGCAGCAGUGGGGAAUAUUGGACAAUGGGCGAAAGCCUGAUCCAGCCAUGCCGCGUGUGUGAAGAAGGUCUUCGGAUUGUAAAGCACUUUAAGUUGGGAGGAAGGGCAUUAACCUAAUACGUUAGUGUUUUGACGUUACCAACAGAAUAAGCACCGGCUAACUUCGUGCCAGCAGCCGCGGUAAUACGAAGGGUGCAAGCGUUAAUCGGAAUUACUGGGCGUAAAGCGCGCGUAGGUGGUUCGUUAAGUUGGAUGUGAAAGCCCCGGGCUCAACCUGGGAACUGCAUCCAAAACUGGCGAGCUAGAGUACGGUAGAGGGUAGUGGAAUUUCCUGUGUAGCGGUGAAAUGCGUAGAUAUAGGAAGGAACACCAGUGGCGAANGCGACUACCUGGACUGAUACUGACACUGAGGUGCGAAAGCGUGGGGAGCAAACAGGAUUAGAUACCCUGGUAGUCCACGCCGUAAACGAUGUCAACUAGCCGUUGGAAUCCUUGAGAUUUUAGUGGCGCAGCUAACGCAUUAAGUUGACCG
RNAcentral lists this ribosomal RNA (783 nucleotides) under Ectopseudomonas alcaliphila. RNAcentral describes it as "bacterial SSU rRNA". It matches the Rfam family "Bacterial small subunit ribosomal RNA", at positions 92 to 871 of the family's 1533-position model. Lineage: Bacteria; Pseudomonadati; Pseudomonadota; Gammaproteobacteria; Pseudomonadales; Pseudomonadaceae. The record is from RNAcentral.